Molecule: unclassified non-coding RNA, 341 nt
Filed under: soil metagenome
Description: partial contains 5.8S ribosomal RNA, internal transcribed spacer 2, and large subunit ribosomal RNA
Rfam family: 5.8S ribosomal RNA (bases 1-120)
Source: RNAcentral
GAUGAAGAACGUAGCGAAAUGCGAUAAGUAGUGUGAAUUGCAGAUUUUAGUGAAUCAUCGAAUUUUUGAACGCACAUUGCGCCCCUUGGUACUCCAUUGGGCAUGCCUGUUCGAGCGUCAUUGGUACAUUCAAGCUCUGCUUGGUGCUGGGCGCCUGUCCCGUUUUGCUGCGUGGACUCGCCCUAAAUCUAUUGGCCGCUCUCUUGCCAGCCCCCAGCGCAGCAGAAUCCGUGCUCUGGUGGGUCUUGGACAGGGUAGCAUCCAGCAAGAUUGUUUUUCACGCUUGACCUCGGAUCAGGUAGGGAUACCCGCUGAACUUAAGCAUAUCAAUAAGCGGAGAA